This is a long non-coding RNA of Alosa sapidissima (American shad), 300 nucleotides long. RefSeq lists it as uncharacterized. The record is from RefSeq and is a predicted model, not a curated record. The transcript has 3 exons. NCBI's taxonomy places the organism in Eukaryota, Metazoa, Chordata, Actinopteri, Clupeiformes, Clupeidae.
CUAGCUCCAAAAUACGAACAUGAAUGCCGCUACGAAGAAUAUUUCUAAACAGCAAGUUGUGUAGACUUGUGGAAAGUUUACAUUUCACCUGCCAGAGUCCAUCUGUCACAAUCAGAUCAGGAAAAUCCAUACAAUAUCAUUGACUGUGCAACACCCACUGCUGUAUUGAAGAAAAGAAAGACUUCACCUCCCCCAAAAUGGCCAUUCGGGUAGGUCUUGUAUUUCCUAAUCUUCCUCUACCCUGAUACUGCUGAAUGCAUUGAUUAAAACCCCCAUCUGAACACAAUGGUUGACAUCGAC